RNAcentral lists this ribosomal RNA (502 nucleotides) under uncultured bacterium. Its description in RNAcentral is "bacterial SSU rRNA". It matches the Rfam family "Bacterial small subunit ribosomal RNA", at positions 28 to 521 of the family's 1533-position model. The record is from RNAcentral.
GACGAACGCUGGCGGCGUGGACUAGGCAUGCAAGUCGAACGGUAUCAUCCUUUCGGGGGUGAGAGAGUGGCGAACUGGUGAGUAACACGUAGGUUAUCUACCCUCAAGACGGGGACAACCCAGGGAAACUUGGGCUAAUACCGGAUGUGAGCAACUUUUAGUUGUUUGAAAGGUGGCGUAAGCUGUCGCUUGGGGAUGAGCCUGCGUCCUAUUAGUUAGUUGGUGAGGUAACGGCUCACCUAGGCAAUGAUAGGUAGGCGGCCUUAACGGGUGGUCGCCCACACUGGGAUUGAGAUACGGCCCAGACUCCUACGGGAGGCAGCAGUCGAGAAUAGUCUACAAUGGUCGGAAGACUGAUAGUGCGACGCCGCGUGAACGAUGAAUCCCUUCGGGGUGUAAAGUUCUUUUAUAUGUGAGCAGUGCUUCUUAUAUUAACAGUAUGGGGAGAGAGAUAUUAGCAUAUGAAUAAGCAACGGCUAAACUCCGUGCCAGCAGCCGCGGU